GAGACUGUAGCACAACCGGUAGUGCAGCGGCCUUUUAAGUCGCAGGUUGCGAGAUCGUACCUCGCCAGUCUCA
RNAcentral lists this transfer RNA (73 nucleotides) under Caudoviricetes sp. RNAcentral describes it as "tRNA-Lys". It matches the Rfam family "tRNA". Rfam says of the family: Transfer RNA (tRNA) molecules are approximately 80 nucleotides in length. Their secondary structure includes four short double-helical elements and three loops (D, anti-codon, and T loops). Lineage: Duplodnaviria; Heunggongvirae; Uroviricota; Caudoviricetes. The record is from RNAcentral.